Molecule: ribosomal RNA, 505 nt
Filed under: uncultured bacterium
Lineage: Bacteria
Description: partial 16S ribosomal RNA
Rfam family: Bacterial small subunit ribosomal RNA
Source: RNAcentral
GACGAACGCUGGCGGCGUGCUUAACACAUGCAAGUCGAACGAUGAAGAAAAGAAUUGCAGCUUCGGCAGAAAUUCAUUUCGGAUUAGUGGCAGACGGGUGAGUAACGCAUGAGCAACCUACCUCUUACAAAGGGAUAGCCUCGGGAAACCGGGAUUAAUACCAUAUAACAUUGCUACGAAGCAUUUCGAUGCAAUCAAAGCUACGGCGGUAAGAGAUGGGCUCGCGUCCCAUUAACUAGAUGGUGAGGUACCGGCGCACCACAGUAACGAUGGGUAACUGGUCUAAGAGGAAGAUAAGACCCACUGGAACUGAGACACGGCCCAGACUCCUGCGGGAGGCAGCAGUGGGGAAUAUUGGACAAGGGGCGAAAGCCUGAUGGAGCCAUGCCGCGUGUGUGAAGAAGGUCUUCGGCUGGUAAAGCACUUUAAGUUGGGAGGAAGGGAAGUAAGGUAAUAACUUGCUGUUUUGACGUUACCAACAGAAUAAGCAACGGCUAACUUCGUG